This 305-nucleotide ribosomal RNA is filed under the name uncultured bacterium. Its description in RNAcentral is "bacterial SSU rRNA". It matches the Rfam family "Bacterial small subunit ribosomal RNA", at positions 336 to 638 of the family's 1533-position model. The record is from RNAcentral.
UUCCUACGGGAGGCAGCAGUGAGGAAUAUUGGUCAAUGGGCGAGAGCCUGAACCAGCCAAGUCGCGUGAAGGAUGACGGCCCUACGGGUUGUAAACUUCUUUUGUCAGGGAGCAAUUGGGUCCACGCGUGGGCUUAGCGAGAGUACCUGAAGAAAAAGCAUCGGCUAACUCCGUGCCAGCAGCCGCGGUAAUACGGAGGAUGCGAGCGUUAUCCGGAUUUAUUGGGUUUAAAGGGUGCGUAGGCGGGAUGCCAAGUCAGCGGUAAAAAUGCGGUGCUCAACGCCGUCGAGCCGUUGAAACUGGCG